AGAGUCCUGAAAUGUACGUUGUGUUACCUGAAGUUUUGACCGAACAUUUUUAUUUCGGGAGUCCGGAGUUUUUCUGAUUGCGUAAAUGCCUCACCCAUUGACGGGAUAGAGGACUUACAAUACCGGAAACAGGACACCCACCUGCUGAGUGCGGGUUUCAAAACGAAGGACAUAAGCGACGGCAUAAUUGGGACUCUU
RNAcentral lists this non-coding RNA (198 nucleotides) under Bacillus sp. SORGH_AS_0510. RNAcentral describes it as "6S / SsrS RNA". It matches the Rfam family "6S / SsrS RNA". Rfam says of the family: E. coli 6S RNA was the first non coding RNA to be sequenced, but its function was unknown until recently. It consists of 184 nucleotides that fold into an extended hairpin structure with a large single-stranded internal bulge. Lineage: Bacteria; Bacillati; Bacillota; Bacilli; Caryophanales; Bacillaceae. The record is from RNAcentral.